Molecule: long non-coding RNA, 316 nt
Organism: Haliotis rubra (blacklip abalone)
Lineage: Eukaryota; Metazoa; Mollusca; Gastropoda; Lepetellida; Haliotidae
Exons: 2
Source: RefSeq, a predicted model, not a curated record
CUGGGCAGUCCUGAAUGUGAAAUAGCAACAUCAGACCUCAAGGUCAAACAGCAAGAUCAAUCCUCAAGGUCAAGUAGCAAGAUCAAUCCCAAAGGUCAAACAGCACGAUUAAUCCUCAAGGUAAAACAGCAAGAUCAAUCCUCAAGGUCAAACAGCAAAUGUUAGCAUCCACUGAUGUCUUUCUGCUUCUUUCUAUGGAACCGAGUCUCUACUGGGUCAAACCCUCUCUCUGAAGCUCCAAACACUGCCCAGUGUGGAGUUGGGGCCAUAUAGUCCUCUGCAGUAAAUGUUUUCUGGCCUCCUGAUUGGUUGUAUU